UGCGAUGAGCCGAGACGGCUAGCUGAUGCUAGUCAACUCAAACAGAGGCACACCGAGGAAACUCAACCUGCCGGAUUGCAGGGUGUCGGAUGAUUGUUUUGUGGAGAAU
Molecule: non-coding RNA, 109 nt
Filed under: Enterococcus saccharolyticus subsp. saccharolyticus ATCC 43076
Lineage: Bacteria; Bacillati; Bacillota; Bacilli; Lactobacillales; Enterococcaceae
Description: Enterococcus sRNA 68 (Lacto-3 RNA)
Rfam family: Enterococcus sRNA 68 (Lacto-3 RNA)
About the family: Name 'Ref' stands for RNA in E. faecalis. Also known as Lacto-3 RNA.
Source: Rfam by way of RNAcentral